GACGAACGCUGGCGGCGUGCUUAACACAUGCAAGUCGAACGGAAAGGCCCUGCUUGCAGGGUACUCGAGUGUCGAACGGGUGAGUAACACGCGGGUGAUCUGCCCUGUACUUCGGGAUAUGCCUGGGAAACUGGGUCUAAUACGGGAGAGGAGCCAUCUUGAGUGUUAGGGUUGGAAAGUUUUUUCGGUGUAGGAAGAGCUCGCGGCCUAUCAGCUUGUUGGUUGGGUAAUGGCCUACCAAGGCGGCCUCGGGUAGACGGCCUGAGAGGGGGGACGGCCGCUUGGGGAGUGGGAUACGGCCCAGACACCUACGGGAGGGAGCGGUGGGGAGUUUAUCACAAGGGGGGCAGGCCUGAUGGAGAGCAUCCGCGUGGGGGGUGACGGGCGUCGGGUGGUGUACUCCUUUCUCGGGGGGCAAAGCUUUUUGUUGCGGGACCUAGAUAAGAAGCAACGGCUAACUACGUG
Molecule: ribosomal RNA, 465 nt
Filed under: uncultured bacterium
Lineage: Bacteria
Description: partial 16S ribosomal RNA
Rfam family: Bacterial small subunit ribosomal RNA
Source: RNAcentral